This is a long non-coding RNA of Tympanuchus pallidicinctus (lesser prairie-chicken), 1770 nucleotides long. RefSeq lists it as uncharacterized. The transcript has 2 exons. Lineage: Eukaryota; Metazoa; Chordata; Aves; Galliformes; Phasianidae. The record is from RefSeq and is a predicted model, not a curated record.
GCGGCGUCUCGUGGAGAGGCGUGGCCUCGCUUCAGCCGCUCUUCCCGCCCUCUGCCGGGGGGGGGAGCGCUCACAGGCUGAAGGACGUUGUGAGGCUCGUAGCAGUAUUAGCACGGCAGCCUUCACUCGUGUGGAAAGCAGCGAGUUAACCACGCGAGCAAACGAAGGCUGGCUUCAAACAGGAACGUCCCACCUAGAUACGGCUCCGUGCCAUGGGAUACAGAGUUCCAGUUGAUCUACAGAUCUGCUUGCAGUGGAGUGGUUCUUACUGUGUCAGCUGGUGGUUUCAGCUAGGCGAAAUCACUUAGAAAUCAUUCAAAAGAAAACCUGCAAGCACAGUUAUGCAUAAAUCAGGAGACGGAAUGGCAAUUCUUUAAGGAUAAAAUGGAAAAACAAAUGAAAAUCUGUGUUAACAAACAUUUUUCCUUCAUUUUUCAUGUUUCUUUUAAUUAUAGAAUGACUGGCAUUGGAAAAAACUCACAUGCUACAGAAUCGUAGGGGUUAGAAGGGACCUCUGGAGAUCCUCCAGUCCAGCUCCCUGCUAGAACAGGUGCCCUGUAUCAGGUCACACAGGAAGGUGUCCACGUGGGUUUGGAGCAUGACUGGAGAAGGAGGUCCCACAGCUCUCUGGACAGCCUGUUCUAGUGCUUUUCUACCAGGUCUAUCAGCCUUUCUUGUAAGGAAGAUGCUCCAGGUCCUUAAUCAUGUUUGUAGCCCCCUGCUGGACUCUUUCUGUAAGUUCCCUGUCCUUGAACGGAGAGCCCAGACUUGGCCUCAGCACAGCAGAGUAGAGUGGGACGGUGGCUUUUCUCAAUCUGCUGACCACGUCCUUUUCAAUGCAUCCCAGGAUACCGUUGGUCUUCUUGACCACAAGGGCACACUGCUGGCUCAUAUAUUCCAUAUAAAUAACUACAAUUUGUCAGUGGCCAUGAUUUUCCUUUUCACAAGCCCACUGAUCACAAAAAGGAUGUGAAGUAUUAUUCCUUUUCAGGACUUCAAAAUAGUAUUUUGUCCUGUUUGAAAAUGUACCUUUAUGCAGGUGUUUUUAUUCACUUACAAAGGUCACUUGGCCAAGUUGGCUGCCUAUUGAUCUCUGCUUUUUGCGGGAUUUGUUUUCUGAUGUUGGGUUGCUGGAACUGACUCCAUAUGGCCUCAGAUGACCCCUGAUGUUGGUAUGCAGAAGUGUCAGUGUGUGUGUUGGAGGCAGAGCUGCCCUUUGAAACUAGUUGUCUGUUUUUAUCUGUAAUGUCAGCCCACACCCUGAGUUACUGAUAUCAGUAUGUUAAAAAAAAAAAUAUCUCAGGCAAAAUCCCAGGCAUUCUGUGAUCCAAAUUCAUUUAUUUCUGUCCAUGUCUUCCAGUAUAGGCGUUGUAAUCUUCAGAUUAAACAUUGGUCAGUUAUGCCAUUUCUGUAUUGAAAAGAUGAUAAUGAUUUUAAAUUUUACCAAAGACUACUCAUCAUCAGCAGCAAUGAAAACAUUUUCUUUGUGUUAAAUGUAAAUCAUUUUCCUGUAUCUUCCAUCAAACAGCAUUUACAAAGAAGACUGAGGACUGCCUGCUCUCAUUCAACUCAUACUGUUAAAUGCAAAAACCACUCGUGGUCGUUAUGUUUGUUUCAAUGGUAGCAGGAUAACUACCUUUUCUUACAAACAUAUGAUUUUUGGGGGAGGCUUUGGAAUACAUGUGUUUGCCUUUGAUUCUUUCAAUUUUCUUAUGUUUGUGAUCAUUAGCAAAGGAUGCAGUAAAAAUAAAGCACUUCUUUUCUGACUGA